CAGUAGCCGCGGUAAUACGAAGGGGGCUAGCGUUGUUCGGAUUUACUGGGCGUAAAGGGCGCGUAGGCGGAUUUGUAAGUCAGGGGUGAAAUCCCGAGGCUCAACCUCGGAACUGCCUUUGAUACUGUGGAUCUUGAGUCCGGGAGAGGUGAGUGGAACUGCGAGUGUAGAGGUGAAAUUCGUAGAUAUUCGCAAGAACACCAGUGGCGAAGGCGGCUCACUGGCCCGGAACUGACGCUGAGGCGCGAAAGCGUGGGGAGCAAACAGGAUUAGAUACCCCCGUAGUCCCUGUCUCUUAUAC
Molecule: ribosomal RNA, 301 nt
Filed under: uncultured bacterium
Lineage: Bacteria
Description: partial 16S ribosomal RNA
Rfam family: Bacterial small subunit ribosomal RNA
Source: RNAcentral